UACGUAGGGGGCUAGCGUUGUCCGGAAUCAUUGGGCGUAAAGCGCGCGUAGGCGGCCCGAUAAGUCUGCUGUGAAAGUCCAGGGCUCAACCCUGGAAUGCCGGUGGAUACUGUCGGGCUAGAGUUCGGAAGAGGCAAGUGGAAUUCCUGGUGUAGCGGUGGAAUGCGCAGAUAUCAGGAGGAGCACCUAUAGCGAAGGCAGCUUGCUGGGACGACACUGACGCUGAGGCGCGAAAGCGUGGGGAGCGAACAGG
This 253-nucleotide ribosomal RNA is filed under the name uncultured bacterium. RNAcentral's name for it is "partial 16S ribosomal RNA". It matches the Rfam family "Bacterial small subunit ribosomal RNA", at positions 524 to 776 of the family's 1533-position model. The record is from RNAcentral.